RNAcentral lists this unclassified non-coding RNA (378 nucleotides) under Pseudogymnoascus destructans. RNAcentral's name for it is "sequence contains 5.8S rRNA gene, ITS2, 28S rRNA gene". The stretch from base 158 to 311 matches the Rfam family "5.8S ribosomal RNA". The record is from RNAcentral. Lineage: Eukaryota; Fungi; Ascomycota; Leotiomycetes; Thelebolales; Thelebolaceae.
UUGCCGCAAGGCCUCCCGGGUAACCUACCACCCUUUGUUUAUUACACUUUGUUGCUUUGGCAGGCCUGCCCUCGGGCUGCUGGCUCCGGCCGGCGAGCGCUUGCCAGAGGACUAAACUCUGUUUGUCUAUACUGUCUGAGUACUAUAUAAUAGUUAAAACUUUCAACAACGGAUCUCUUGGUUCUGGCAUCGAUGAAGAACGCAGCGAAAUGCGAUAAGUAAUGUGAAUUGCAGAAUUCAGUGAAUCAUCGAAUCUUUGAACGCACAUUGCGCCCCCUGGUAUUCCGGGGGGCAUGCCUGUCCGAGCGUCAUUACAACCCUCAAGCUCAGCUUGGUAUUGGGCCCCGCCGACCCGGCGGGCCCUAAAGUCAGUGGCGG